RNAcentral lists this long non-coding RNA (697 nucleotides) under Orbicella faveolata. RNAcentral's name for it is "uncharacterized LOC110055297". The record is from RNAcentral. Lineage: Eukaryota; Metazoa; Cnidaria; Anthozoa; Scleractinia; Merulinidae.
UAUUGCAUUCAGUUUUCCACAGAAACCUAACGUGGAGAGAAGGUCAGCUAAUCACGAUAGUGGUGACUUCAAAGCCGGAAAAUUUGAUCAGUUGAGGACGCUAUCGCGCGAACGACUGGGGAAAAGGCAGGGCUUUGGCUGCAUGGGUUGCGGAACCGAACCCUGGUAGGAAGUGAGCACAAUUGGCAGCAGAAGAUAAGCUGACCAUGAAGUUUAACUUAGGAGCAGAAAUAAAUUAAUCAUCAAUUGGUGUGCUAGUUAGUUUGUUAGACGGGUAAUAUGAUAAAAAGACUGUAAACUGAAUGGAAACACACUGGUGGGUGUAAGAACCACACACAUUAAACUCUGAUCGUGAGUGAAUCUAAGCUUUACCUUUUGCUUUUCUCUUUUAAUGUUUCAAUGUCAUCUUGUUCGAGUUUUUAUCCUGUAUAUAUCUAUUUAUUAUAUGGUAAGGUAGUGUUUAGGAGAAUCCGGGCCUUCUGAUUGGUUCUGUCUUGGUGGGGAUUUUGCCAUACGGACCUUUUCAUGUAAACAGUCAUAAGCAAUGCAUUUUAUUUUUCGAAAGCGGCCAAAAGCAUGCUCCUGACUACCAGCUAGCUUGCUCGAGCCGUGUCGGGGAAUGUUAGCUCUCGUGAAAACAAACCUAACCGUUCUCCAAGGGACCUGUAUAAAGUGUAAAGUAAUUAGCCAAGUAGAA